AGUGACGUCAAGUCAUCAUGGCCCUUACCGGCCUGGGCGUACACACGUGCUACAAUGGUCGGUACAAAGGGUUAGGCCAAGCCGCGAGGUGGAGCUAAUCUCAUAAAACCGAACCGUAGUCCGGAUCGCAGUCUGCAACUCGACUGCGUGAAGUCGGAAUCGCUAGUAAUCGUGAAUCAGAAUGUCACGGUGAAUACGUUCCCGGGCCUU
Molecule: ribosomal RNA, 210 nt
Filed under: uncultured Pseudomonadaceae bacterium
Lineage: Bacteria; Pseudomonadati; Pseudomonadota; Gammaproteobacteria; Pseudomonadales; Pseudomonadaceae
Description: partial 16S ribosomal RNA
Rfam family: Bacterial small subunit ribosomal RNA
Source: RNAcentral